Molecule: ribosomal RNA, 431 nt
Filed under: uncultured Alphaproteobacteria bacterium
Lineage: Bacteria; Pseudomonadati; Pseudomonadota; Alphaproteobacteria
Description: bacterial SSU rRNA
Rfam family: Bacterial small subunit ribosomal RNA
Source: RNAcentral
GAGUGAAGAAGGCCCUUGGGUUGUAAAGCUCUUUCGUCGGGGAAGAAAAUGACUGUACCCGAAUAAGAAGGUCCGGCUAACUUCGUGCCAGCAGCCGCGGUAAUACGAAGGGACCUAGCGUAGUUCGGAAUUACUGGGCUUAAAGAGUUCGUAGGUGGUUGAAAAAGUUGGUGGUGAAAUCCCAGAGCUUAACUCUGGAACUGCCAUCAAAACUUUUCAGCUAGAGUAUGAUAGAGGAAAGCAGAAUUUCUAGUGUAGAGGUGAAAUUCGUAGAUAUUAGAAAGAAUACCAAUUGCGAAGGCAGCUUUCUGGAUCAUUACUGACACUGAGGAACGAAAGCAUGGGUAGCGAAGAGGAUUAGAUACCCUCGUAGUCCAUGCCGUAAACGAUGUGUGUUAGACGUUGGAAAUUUAUUUUCAGUGUCGCAGCGA